This 301-nucleotide ribosomal RNA is filed under the name uncultured bacterium. RNAcentral's name for it is "partial 16S ribosomal RNA". It matches the Rfam family "Bacterial small subunit ribosomal RNA", at positions 509 to 807 of the family's 1533-position model. The record is from RNAcentral.
CAGCCGCCGCGGGAAUACGAAGGGGGCUAGCGUUGCUCGGAAUGACUGGGCGUAAAGGGCGCGUAGGCGGCGAUCAAAGUCAGGCGUGAAAUUCCUGGGCUCAACCUGGGGGCUGCGCUUGAUACUUGGUUGCUUGAGUGGGGAAGAGGGUCGUGGAAUUCCCAGUGUAGAGGUGAAAUUCGUAGAUAUUGGAAAGAACACCGGUGGCGAAGGCGGCGACCUGGUCCUUGACUGACGCUGAGGCGCGAAAGCGUGGGGAGCAAACAGGAUUAGAUACCCCUGUAGUCCCUGUCUCUUAUAC